CCGUACUAGUGUUUCUCUAAACGACAUAGAGAAGUUCUGGAUACGCCUUUGCUAUUACAUGUGUACGUGUUUUGGAGAGGAUAAUGAUGACCAAUCAAAUGUCAAACUUUCUGCGCCAGUUAUGUUAGCUAUGCCAAUGCCAGGAAUCUUAACUCAUUUACAUUAAUUGAUGUGACAUGAUAUUAGGUGUGACAUUUGUUAAUAGUGUUUAACGUUAUGUUAAAACUUGUCUAUCAUUUAUCCAUGAAUAAGCAAGAAGUAUUCUGAUGGAGGAAAUUAUUUCUGUGGUACUUUAGAUACUUUAUUAUCUGGAUUGUAUUUUGAACAGAUGUGCAUUGUAUCCACAAUCAUCUGACAUACGGCGGAUUUAUCCAACACAUCACUAGCUCAAAAUGAAGCAACUCAGCUCUGAAUAUUUUUCUUGAAUCGAUAUAAAAUAAAUAAUUCUAAGUACAA
This is a long non-coding RNA of Biomphalaria glabrata, 456 nucleotides long. RefSeq lists it as uncharacterized. The record is from RefSeq and is a predicted model, not a curated record. NCBI's taxonomy places the organism in Eukaryota, Metazoa, Mollusca, Gastropoda, Planorbidae. The transcript has 2 exons.